Molecule: long non-coding RNA, 250 nt
Filed under: Apteryx owenii (little spotted kiwi)
Lineage: Eukaryota; Metazoa; Chordata; Aves; Apterygiformes; Apterygidae
Description: lncRNA (ENSAOWG00000012643.1)
Source: RNAcentral
CGGCCGUUGAAGAGAAUACAAGAUGGCGGCGGGCAGCAGGUUUGUGUUCAACUUACCUUUGCUACAGACUAUUGCGUGGUCUGCGAAGCAGCUAAGAAAGUACUUAGACAAGCGAGUUCGCCUACAUAUGGUACAGAACUAUAAAGUUACUAGAACUGCAGCAAUCCAGAAGCUGUCUGGCUUUGAAGAGGGUAUGAAGUCUGUCUUCCAGAAAGUCUGGAAAAUAACAGUACCCUCAACCAAUUCAUAA